This 363-nucleotide long non-coding RNA is filed under the name Gossypium barbadense (sea-island cotton). RNAcentral describes it as "long non-coding RNA (GBAR_LNC003846)". Lineage: Eukaryota; Viridiplantae; Streptophyta; Magnoliopsida; Malvales; Malvaceae. The record is from RNAcentral.
AGGGAUUUAGCUUGGACUGGUAAUCCCGACAAUACUCUAUGAGUUUAUAUUGCAGGGGAUUUAGCCUGGACUGGUAAUCCCGCUGCAAGGUUGAGGUUCGCGGGAGUGUGCUCUCUGAAAUGGAUAUGUGCGCACAUGAAUAUGAAUUGACGGACCCGGAAUUGUACACUAAAAGUGUACCUCUGAAAAUCCAUCGAAAUUCUGAUAAAUUCAACGGGAUAAAUAUGAAAAAUAAUAAGGGAAUGAAAAUCAUGGUAUUGAUGAGUACAUCAAUCAUGGUAUAUAUUAUUGGUACAUGGAAAUUAUUGUACUAACUUGAAUGUUGAGUUUGUGCAUAUUAGGGUAAUAAUGCAUUGAAUGGAU